GUGUCAGCCGCCGCGGUAAGACGAACCGUGCGAACGUUGUUCGGAAUCACUGGGCAUAAAGGGCGCGUAGGCGGCUUUUCAAGUCAGGGGUGAAAUCCGGCAGCUCAACUGUCGAAGUGCCUUUGAUACUGAAGAGCUCGAGGGAGGUAGGGGUGUGCGGAACUUCCGGUGGAGCGGUGAAAUGCGUUGAUAUCGGAAGGAACGCCGGUGGCGAAAGCGGCGCACUGGACCUCUUCUGACGCUGAGGCGCGAAAGCCAGGGGAGCAAACGGGAUUAGAAACCCUUGUAGUCC
RNAcentral lists this ribosomal RNA (292 nucleotides) under uncultured bacterium. Its description in RNAcentral is "partial 16S ribosomal RNA". It matches the Rfam family "Bacterial small subunit ribosomal RNA", at positions 505 to 796 of the family's 1533-position model. The record is from RNAcentral.